CUAACUUUAAAAAUCAAAGAUAAGGGUGAGACAGAGAAUUAUGAAGUCUGGAGUAAAAUGUAUCAAUGGCUGGAGUCAAGGAAAAAGAAAGAAAGGGUUGACACUUUAUAGGAAUGAAAGCUAAAAAAAAAACUUUGUAAAGCAA
This is a non-coding RNA of Pseudonaja textilis, 145 nucleotides long. The record is from RefSeq and is a predicted model, not a curated record. Lineage: Eukaryota; Metazoa; Chordata; Lepidosauria; Squamata; Elapidae.